RNAcentral lists this unclassified non-coding RNA (336 nucleotides) under soil metagenome. Its description in RNAcentral is "partial contains 5.8S ribosomal RNA, internal transcribed spacer 2, and large subunit ribosomal RNA". The stretch from base 1 to 120 matches the Rfam family "5.8S ribosomal RNA", at positions 35 to 154 of the family's 154-position model. The record is from RNAcentral.
GAUGAAGAACGCAGCGAAAUGCGAUAAGUAGUGUGAAUUGCAGAAUUCAGUGAAUCAUCGAAUCUUUGAACGCACAUUGCGCCCCUUGGUAUUCCAUGGGGCAUGCCUGUUCGAGCGUCAUUUGUACCUUCAAGCUUUGCUUGGUGUUGGGUGUUUGUCUCGCCUUUGCGUGUAGACUCGCCUUAAAAUAAUUGGCAGCCGGCGUAUUGAUUUCGGAGCGCAGUACAUCUCGCGCUUUGCACUCAUAACGACAGCGUCCAAAAGUACAUUUUACACUCUUUACCUCGGAUCAGGUAGGGAUACCCGCUGAACUUAAGCAUAUCAAUAAGCGGAGGA